CUCCUAGGACCACCAUUCUGCACCCCUCCAUCCCUUAUAGCCCGUCUAGCAUCAACCACCUGGAAGAAGAGGUGGGAGGAGACCAGUACUGAUCAGCUCACAGCCCCGCUAGCGAUGGGCCUCCAAGCGCUUGCGCACUCUUUUCACUGCACUGCAGGGGUCUGCUUCACGCAGGGAGGGGGUUUCUCUGCGCAUGCGCACUCUGGAUGUACUGCAGUUCCAGCUUUACGCUGGGAGGGGGCUUCUUGGCAUCUGCGCACUCUGCUUACAGCACUGCGGACCAUGAUUUGCGGCUGCGCCAGUUUGGCACCUUCCAGAAAGCUCCAGGGCUGGGCGGGAGGAUAGAUAGGGGGUGUUGACGUGUUAUUCUCUUCUCCAGCUCCUCCUUCCGCUGGAGCUGACAGCCCCCAAGUGUUCAUUUUGUGAUUUGUUGCUGCGUCGACAGACCGCAACCAAACUACACAGGCAUUGCCCCUUUCUGUUCUUUGACAUCUGACUGGGGUGUUGGGACUUAGAAGUGAGCUGUGCGGGUCACCAGAGUAGGAUUAGAGUCAAAUAACAAACCCUAAAUUUGGAAAGAGAGCAGCUGCGUGAAGGCAAUUUGGGCAGAUUGACAGUCUGGAGUGUUCUCCAGACCAGCAGCAGCAACAGGAUUGCCGCAGACAUGUUGGAAACGCAGACUCUCAGCCCAUCCUAGUCUUGUCAAGCUGAAACUCAGCUCAGCUAUCUCUUUUGAUGUACUUCAUCAUACUUAACUAAAGGAAGCCAACUGACACUUUACACAUUCUAUCUGGAAAUCGUCUUGCCGAGGUACAGAAAAUCAUUAGGUAAAUCUUCCAUUUUACCACUGGCAAUAGUUUCACCACUUGUUCUACCGCUAUGUAACAUGGAUUACCAUUUUUCCAACCUUUGAUAGCUGUUUCCUUUCCAUUUUUCCAGCUUCUAUCCACAGGAAGUGUGCUCACCCUUUUCCAGUUUUUCCUAACAGUUUCUUCACUGUUUUCAAUUUGUACCCGCUGCUCCAUUCCAAAGUCAGUGUCACAAUCUUUCUAUUUUUGUUACAGUACCACCACACUUCUAAGAACUUAUGAUGUAGCAGUUAGCUUUGGUGCAUAUCAAAC
This 1121-nucleotide long non-coding RNA is filed under the name Equus caballus (horse). RNAcentral describes it as "lncRNA (ENSECAG00000048886.1)". The record is from RNAcentral. Lineage: Eukaryota; Metazoa; Chordata; Mammalia; Perissodactyla; Equidae.